GCCAGGUGUGGUGUUGCACACCUAUAGUCCCAGCUACUGAGGAGGCUGAGGCAGGAGGAUCACUUGAGCCCAGGAGUUUGAGGCUGCAGUGAGCUGUAAUGGAGUGCACUGCUGCACUCCAUCCUGUGCAACAGAGCGAGAUCCUGCCUCAC
Unclassified non-coding RNA from Papio anubis (olive baboon), 152 nucleotides. It matches the Rfam family "Metazoan signal recognition particle RNA". From Rfam's summary of the family: The signal recognition particle (SRP) is a universally conserved ribonucleoprotein. It is involved in the co-translational targeting of proteins to membranes. Lineage: Eukaryota; Metazoa; Chordata; Mammalia; Primates; Cercopithecidae. The record is from Ensembl.